GACGAACGCUGGCGGCGUGCCUAAUACAUGCAAGUAGAACGCUGAAGAGAGGAGCUUGCUCUUCUUGGAUGAGUUGCGAACGGGUGAGUAACGCGUAGGUAACCUGCCUGGUAGCGGGGGAUAACUAUUGGAAACGAUAGCUAAUACCGCAUAAAAUGGAUUAUCGCAUGAUAAUCCAUUGAAAGGUGCAAAUGCAUCACUACCAGAUGGACCUGCGUUGUAUUAGCUAGUUGGUGGGGUAACGGCUCACCAAGGCGACGAUACAUAGCCGACCUGAGAGGGUGAUCGGCCACACUGGGACUGAGACACGGCCCAGACUCCUACGGGAGGCAGCAGUAGGGAAUCUUCGGCAAUGGACGGAAGUCUGACCGAGCAACGCCGCGUGAGUGAAGAAGGUUUUCGGAUCGUAAAGCUCUGUUGUAAGAGAAGAACGAGUGUGAGAGGGAAAGUUCACACU
Molecule: ribosomal RNA, 457 nt
Filed under: Streptococcus sp. oral taxon 071
Lineage: Bacteria; Bacillati; Bacillota; Bacilli; Lactobacillales; Streptococcaceae
Description: bacterial SSU rRNA
Rfam family: Bacterial small subunit ribosomal RNA
Source: RNAcentral